UCCCGUUGAUCCUGCGGGAGGUUGCUGCUAUUGGGAUUCGACUAAGCCAUGCAAGUCAAGGGGACUUGGGUCACCGGCAGACUGCUCAGUAACACGUCGAUAAUCUGCCCUUAGGUCAGGGAUAACCUCGGGAAACUGAGGCUAAUACCUGAUAUGGAAAUUCUUCUGGAAUGAUUUUUUCCUUAAAGAUUACGCCUAAGGAUGAGACGGCGGCGGAUUAGGCUGUUGGCGGGGUAAUGGCCCACCAAACCUAAGAUCCGUAGGGGCCUUGAGAGAGGUAGCCCCGAGAAGGACACUGAGAUACUGGUCCUAACCCCACGGGGUGCAGCAGGCGCGAAACCUUUACACUGCACGAAAGUGUGAUAAGGGAAUCCCAAGUGCUUAUGCUUUGCAUAGGCUUUUGCCAAGAGUAAAUAUCUUGGCGAAUAAGUGGUGGGAAAGACUGGUGCCAGCCGCCGCGGUAACACCAGCGCCACAAGUGGGGACCACAUUUAUUGGGCCUAAAGCGUCCGUAGCCGGCUUGAAAAAUCGUUUGUGAAAUCGUUGGGCUCAACUCAACGGCGCGCAGAUGACACUCUCAAGCUUGGAACCGGGAGGAGUCAGAGGUAUUCUUGGGGGAGCGGUAAAAUGCUAUAAUCCCUUGAAGACCACCAGUGGCGAAGGCGUCUGACUAGAACGGAUUCGACGGUGAGGGACGAAAGCCAGGGGAGCGAACCGGAUUAGAUACCCGAGUAGUCCUGGCCGUAAACGCUGCGAGCAAGGUGUUGCAUAUUCUACAUGAAUAUGCAGUGUCGAAACGAAGGUGUUAAGCUCGCCGCCUGGGAAGUAUGGUCGCAAGACUGAAACUUAAAGGAAUUGGCGGGGGAGCACCACAAGGGGUGCGGCGUGCGGUUUAAUCUAACUCAACGCAGAAAAUCUCACCAGGGGCGACGGCAGGAUGAGAGUCAGGCUGAAGACCUUACUUGACGAGCCGAGAGGUAGUGCAUGGCCGCCGUCAGCUCGUGCCGUGAGGUGUCCUCUUAAGUGAGGCAACGAGCGAGACCUGUACCUACAAUUGCUAACGAGCUUUGUGAUCGAGCACAUUGUGGGGACUGCCUUGGAAACAAGGAGGAAGGUGCAGGCAACGGUAGGUCUGUAUGCUCCGAAUCCUCUGGGCUACACGCGCGCAACAAUGGUAGGGACAAUGGGAUACGACUCCGAAAGGAGAAGUUAAACCUCUAAACCCUAUCCUAGUCCAGAUUGAGGGCUGAAACUCGCCCUCAUGACGACGGAAUCCCUAGUAAUCGGACGUCAACAUCGUCCGGUGAAUGUGUCCCUGCUCCUUGCACACACCGCCCGUCAAACCAACCGAGCAGGGUUUAGAUGAGUCUUACUUUCUUGAGUUAGCCGAAUCUAAGCUCAGUAAGGUGGGUUAAGUCGUCACAAGGUA
RNAcentral lists this ribosomal RNA (1429 nucleotides) under metagenome. RNAcentral's name for it is "bacterial SSU rRNA". It matches the Rfam family "Archaeal small subunit ribosomal RNA". The record is from RNAcentral.